Molecule: ribosomal RNA, 597 nt
Filed under: uncultured Actinobacteridae bacterium
Lineage: Bacteria; Bacillati; Actinomycetota; Actinomycetes
Description: bacterial SSU rRNA
Rfam family: Bacterial small subunit ribosomal RNA
Source: RNAcentral
GUGGGGUAACGGCCUACCAAGGCAUCGACGGGUAGCUGGUCUGAGAGGACGAUCAGCCACACUGGGACUGAGACACGGCCCAGACUCCUACGGGAGGCAGCAGUGGGGAAUAUUGCGCAAUGGGCGAAAGCCUGACGCAGCAACGCCGCGUGAGGGAUGACGGCUUUCGGGUUGUAAACCUCUUUCAGUGAUGACGAAAAUGACGGUAAUCACAGAAGAAGGUCCGGCCAACUACGUGCCAGCAGCCGCGGUAACACGUAGGGACCAAGCGUUGUCCGGAUUUAUUGGGCGUAAAGAGCUCGUAGGCGGUUUCGUAAGUCGGAUGUGAAAACUCAGGGCUCAACCCUGAGACGCCAUCUGAUACUGCGAUGACUGGAGUCCGGUAGGGGCAUGGAAUUCCUUGUGUAGCGGUGGAAUGCGCAGAUAUGAGGAGGAACACCAAUGGCGAAGGCAGUGCUCUGGGCCGGUACUGACGCUGAGGAGCGAAAGCAUGGGGAGCAAACAGGAUUAGAUACCCUGGUAGUCCAUGCCGUAAACGUUGGGCACUAGGUGUGGGGUCUUCUAACGGAUUCCGUGCCGUAGCUAACGCAUUAAGUG